This 384-nucleotide long non-coding RNA is filed under the name Zonotrichia albicollis (white-throated sparrow). Its description in RNAcentral is "lncRNA (ENSZALG00000017809.1)". Lineage: Eukaryota; Metazoa; Chordata; Aves; Passeriformes; Passerellidae. The record is from RNAcentral.
GUAGACCUUGAAAAUGGACAAAGUUGGAACCUGGGGCUUCCCGGAGGAGAAAGGCAACCACUUAUGGAGUCUUCAAAUUGGCCCUAAAAACUGCAAUUAGUGCUCUUGCACCAAGGAUUUAUGAGCAGCAGAAUAUCCUAUUUGCCUACACAUGUGCAGAGCUGAAGUCAGCUUCUCCCAUUUUUGGAUGAUCGAAUCUCUGCGCCUUCUGCAUCAGAAGAGGAGCACAUGUAGUUUGCUGAGAUUUUCUCAUUGAGGUGCUGCCGUUGGAAGCAGACGAUCGUCUAGGAAGGGAAGAAGUCGGGAUGCUGUGUAUUACCAGGUAUUUUUUGGUUCUCCUUAAACAUGAAUAAAUUUAUCCUAAACUUUGUCUUUCUCCCUUCC